This 240-nucleotide unclassified non-coding RNA is filed under the name soil metagenome. RNAcentral describes it as "partial contains 5.8S ribosomal RNA, internal transcribed spacer 2, and large subunit ribosomal RNA". The record is from RNAcentral.
AACUGAUACUACCUGCGGGAACCUGCGGAGGGAUCAUUACUGAAGUGAUUUGGGGAUGUUGCUGGCCCUCUCUCAAGGGGGGGCACUGUGCACUCCUCGAGACAAUUCACAAUUUCCAUCACACCCCUUGUGCACACCUUGUAGGCACCCAAACCCACCUCCGGGUGGUGGGGUCCUAUGUAUUCCUUCAUCUCACACUCUGUUGAAUGGUGCCAUGGGACGCAUCUAAAGGAUUAUUUG